Molecule: ribosomal RNA, 839 nt
Filed under: uncultured bacterium
Lineage: Bacteria
Description: bacterial SSU rRNA
Rfam family: Bacterial small subunit ribosomal RNA
Source: RNAcentral
AGGGUUUGAUCCUGGCUCAGAAUGAACGCUGGCGGCGUGGAUAAGACAUGCAAGUCGAACGAAGAGAGAUUUAGUUUACUAAUGAUCUCUUAGUGGCGGACGGGUUAGUAACGCGUGAGCAACCUGCCUUAAAGAGGGGGAUAGUCCUGGGAAACUGGGUUUAAUACCGCAUAUGACCACCCUUUAUUGGGCUGGUUAAAGAUGGCUUCGGCUAUCGCUUUAAGAUGGGCUCGCGUCCUAUCAGCUUGUUGGUGAGGUAAAGGCUCACCAAGGCGACGACGGGUAGUUGGUCUGAGAGGACGAUCAGCAACACUGGAACUGAGACACGGUCCAGACACCUACGGGUGGCAGCAGUCGAGAAUCAUUCACAAUGGGGGCAACCCUGAUGGUGCAACGCCGCGUGGAGGAUGAAGGCCCUAGGGUCGUAAACUCCUGUCAUGUGAGAGUAAGGCAUGUAAGUUAAUACCUUAUAUGUUUGAUAGUAUCACAAGAGGAAGGGACGGCUAACUUCGUGCCAGCAGCCGCGGUAAUACGAAGGUCCCGAGCGUUAUUCGGAAUCACUGGGCGUAAAGGGAGCGUAGGCUGUGCGGUAAGUCAGAUGUGAAAUCUCAAGGCUCAACCUUGAAACUGCAUCCGAUACUGCCGCACUAGAGUAAUGGAGGGGUAACUGGAAUUCUCAGUGUAGCAGUGAAAUGCGUAGAUAUUGAGAGGAAGACCAACGGCGAAGGCAGGUUACUGGACAUUUACUGACGCUGAGGCUCGAAGGCUAGGGUAGCGAAAGGGAUUAGAUACCCCUGUAGUCCUAGCAGUAAACGAUGUGCGCUUGGUGUAGUGGGUUC